RNAcentral lists this long non-coding RNA (536 nucleotides) under Sorghum bicolor (sorghum). Its description in RNAcentral is "long non-coding RNA (SBIC_LNC009823)". The record is from RNAcentral. Lineage: Eukaryota; Viridiplantae; Streptophyta; Magnoliopsida; Poales; Poaceae.
CCCAUUUGAAACCGAGAGCACCAUUGUUAUUCUUGGAGCUUCUUCUUCCUUGUUCUUCAUUUGUUCUUCAUCUCCGACGCCCAUCGUUGAUCUUCUUCGACUCCGUCAUCGUUUCUUCGUGCUUGGAGGUGACUAACUUUUGUCUUUCUUGUCUUUUUCAUGUUGUUUUUGGCUUGUGAUGUUCCCACUAUUUUUAGCUCAAAUCCACUUUGUUAUUUUGAAUCAUUCACAUGAAUUAGUAUAUAUAUAUAUAUCAUAUUUCAUGGUUGACCUAGUAUUAAUGUAGUUUGCAAGAAUGAAUUAUAGUAUCUUUUUAUGAUCUUAGAAAGUAUGAUAGUUCAAAUUAAUUGGUUUGUAAUAUCACCGCCUGCACCGCCCUCUCCAAAGAGUACAUGGUCAGUCCCCUCGCCUCCAAAGCGAGGUAGUCAGAAGCGGUCCGCGCAAGAACGACCGAAGUCAUCGGUCCCACCUCCAAAGAAGGCUGCCUCAGCAAAGAGAGCUAAGACACCAGAAAAAUUAUCUUACGAAAAGAGUGA